GGCUCGGUAGCUUAGUUGGUAAAGCACUUGUUUAGCGUAUAAAGGUCAUGAGUUCAAAUCUCAUCUGAGCUG
Molecule: non-coding RNA, 72 nt
Organism: Aedes albopictus (Asian tiger mosquito)
Lineage: Eukaryota; Metazoa; Arthropoda; Insecta; Diptera; Culicidae
Source: Rfam